Molecule: ribosomal RNA, 465 nt
Filed under: uncultured Klebsiella sp.
Lineage: Bacteria; Pseudomonadati; Pseudomonadota; Gammaproteobacteria; Enterobacterales; Enterobacteriaceae
Description: bacterial SSU rRNA
Rfam family: Bacterial small subunit ribosomal RNA
Source: RNAcentral
CCUACGGGGGGCAGCAGUGGGGAAUAUUGCACAAUGGGCGCAAGCCUGAUGCAGCCAUGCCGCGUGUGUGAAGAAGGCCUUCGGGUUGUAAAGCACUUUCAGCGGGGAGGAAGGCGGUGAGGUUAAUAACCUCAUCGAUUGACGUUACCUGCAGAAGAAGCACCGGCUAACUCCGUGCCAGCAGCCGCGGUAAUACGGAGGGUGCAAGCGUUAAUCGGAAUUACUGGGCGUAAAGCGCACGCAGGCGGUCUGUCAAGUCGGAUGUGAAAUCCCCGGGCUCAACCUGGGAACUGCAUUCGAAACUGGCAGGCUAGAGUCUUGUAGAGGGGGGUAGAAUUCCAGGUGUAGCGGUGAAAUGCGUAGAGAUCUGGAGGAAUACCGGUGGCGAAGGCGGCCCCCUGGACAAAGACUGACGCUCAGGUGCGAAAGCGUGGGGAGCAAACAGGAUUAGAUACCCUAGUAGUC